Homo sapiens (human) is the source of this 85-nucleotide microRNA precursor. Lineage: Eukaryota; Metazoa; Chordata; Mammalia; Primates; Hominidae. The record is from Ensembl.
GGCCUGGGUAGGCUUGCAUGGGGGACUGGGAAGAGACCAUGAACAGGUUAGUCCAGGGAGUUCUCAUCAAGCCUUUACUCAGUAG